This 543-nucleotide ribosomal RNA is filed under the name uncultured Glomeromycotina. Its description in RNAcentral is "SSU rRNA". It matches the Rfam family "Eukaryotic small subunit ribosomal RNA", at positions 548 to 1097 of the family's 1831-position model. Lineage: Eukaryota; Fungi; Glomeromycota. The record is from RNAcentral.
UUGGAGGGCAAGUCUGGUGCCAGCAGCCGCGGUAAUUCCAGCUCCAAUAGCGUAUAUUAAAGUUGUUGCAGUUAAAAAGCUCGUAGUUGAAUUUCGGGGUUCUACCGUUGGUCGGGCUUUGUCUGUACUGGUGUGUAGAAUUUCUACCUUCUGGGGAACCAUCAUGCUAUUAAUUUAGCGUGGUGGGAAACCAGGACCUUUACCUUGAAAAAAUUAGUGUGUUCAAAGCAGGCUUAUGUCUGAAUACAUUAGCGUGGAAUAAUAGAAUAGGACGGUGGUCCUGUUUUGUUGGUUUCUGAAUCACCGUAAUGAUUAAUAGGGAUAGUUGGGGGCAUUAGUAUUCAAUUGUCAGAGGUGAAAUUCUUGGAUUUAUUGAAGACUAACUUCUGCGAAAGCAUUUGCCAAGGAUGUUUUCAUUAAUCAAGAACGAAAGUUAGGGGAUCGAAGACGAUCAGAUACCGUCGUAGUCUUAACCAUAAACUAUGCCGACUAGGGAUCGGACGAUGUUAAUUUUUCUUGACUCGUUCGGCGCCUUACGGGAAA